AUGCCGGGUCACUGGAUCCGGGAUUGCGACAAGAGGAAAGCCGACGAGGCAGCCGCGGUAACGGCAAACAUCGUCCAGGCUGACAUGGACAGCGGGCCGGCAAUGAUGCUGGCAAGAGUCGAGCCCGUGCAGGAGAGCUCAGCGUCUCCUGCGACCACAAAGUCGACAACCACCCAUUCCGUGCAGAAGGCACGGAACCCGUCCACGGAAACCAUCACUCCAGUGAAAGGCCACACCUCGACAAUGACGUUCUCGGGGCCUGUUGACUGGGAGGCGAUGAAGGCCCGGGUGUGGGGGAGCCACACCCCGGUGAUGGCGUCUCCGGCAACCUCGGGACCCGAUAAGGUCGCAGAAGUUGGCGCGGCAAUGACGCAUAUGGCGGACCAUGCUCCGACCAUGAUGCUGGCGACCAUCGACUCCGUGCGGGAGCGCACGGAGACUCAGGUCAUCCACACCCCAAUGCCGAAGUGUUCGGGGUCCACCGUGAUGAUGGAAGACGGCUCCCCGACAAUGGUGUGUGCGUGCGGCUACGUCUUCCUCAACGAGGAGAGAGCCGUGACCACACCCACGCUUGCAGGCGGCAAGCAAAGUGAGGGUUGGUUCCUCGACACCAGCGCCACGAACCACAUGACUAGUUCGGUCGAGGCGUUCACGGAGCUGGACCAUUCAAUCACCGGGAAGGCGCGGUUCGCGGACGGAUCCGUGGUGGAGAUCCACGGGUGCGGGACCGUCGUCUUCGCCGACAAAGGGGGUGAUCACAGGGCGUUCACGGACGUCUACUUCAUCCCGGUGCUCAAGAGCAGCGUCGUGAGUGUCGGACAGCUCGACGAGGGUUGGUUCGACAUCGGCAUCCGGCAUGGUGUUCUCACCGCGCGCGACCAGCAGAAGAGGCUACUUAACGAGGUAACCCGCUCGCCAAACCGCCUCUAUAAAUUCUUCAUUCAACUUGUGCAUCCUGUGUGGCUUGCCAUGGGUCAUGUCUCCGACGCAUGGCGUUGGCAUGCCAGGCUAGGACACCAACACUUUGACGGGUUGCGGAAGAUGGCGCGAGGCAACCUCGUUCAUGGGCUACCUCACAUCUAG
This 1083-nucleotide ribosomal RNA is filed under the name Triticum aestivum (bread wheat). RNAcentral describes it as "partial small subunit ribosomal RNA". Lineage: Eukaryota; Viridiplantae; Streptophyta; Magnoliopsida; Poales; Poaceae. The record is from RNAcentral.